AGUGAACGCUGGCGGUAGGCCUAACACAUGCAAGUCGAACGGCAGCACAGUAAGAGCUUGCUCUUACGGGUGGCGAGUGGCGGACGGGUGAGGAAUACAUCGGAAUCUACUUUUUCGUGGGGGAUAACGUAGGGAAACUUACGCUAAUACCGCAUACGACCUACGGGUGAAAGCAGGGGAUCUUCGGACCUCGCGUGAUUGAAUGAGCCGAUGUCGGAUUAGCUAGUUGGCGGGGUAAAGGCCCACCAAGGCGACGAUCCGUAGCUGGUUUGAGAGGAUGAUCAGCCACACUGGAACUGAGACACGGUCCAGACUCCUACGGGAGGCAGCAGUGGGGAAUAUUGGACAAUGGGCGCAAGCCUGAUCCAGCCAUACCGCGUGGGUGAAGAAGGCCUUCGGGUUGUAAAGCCCUUUUGUUGGGAAAGAAAAGCAGCAGGUUAAUACCCCGCUGUUCUGACGGUACCCAAAGAAUAAGCACCGGCUAACUUCGUG
RNAcentral lists this ribosomal RNA (492 nucleotides) under uncultured bacterium. Its description in RNAcentral is "partial 16S ribosomal RNA". It matches the Rfam family "Bacterial small subunit ribosomal RNA", at positions 29 to 507 of the family's 1533-position model. The record is from RNAcentral.